AACUUUCGGCAAUGGAUCACUUGGCUCCGGCAUCGAUGAAGAACGCAGCGAAAUGCGAUAAGUAAUAUGAAUUGCAGAAUUCAGUGAAUCAUCGAGUCUUUGAACGCACAUUGCGCCCGCCAGUACUCUGGCGGGCAUGCCUGUCCGAGCGUCAUUUCAACCCUCGAGCCCAGCUCGGCGUUGGGGCAGGCGGGACCGGCGGCGCCCCCUCCGGGGGGCACGCCAGCCCGCCGCCCUCAAAUACAGUGGCGGCCGCCGUUGGGAUGCCCUCUGCGUAGUAGCAAGCCUCUCGCACCGGAAACCCGCGGACGGCCCGCCCCUAACCCCAAGCGCUCGCCCCUCGCGGCAGCACCACAGGUUGACCUCGGAUCAGGUAGGAAUACCCGCUGAACUUAAGCAUAUCAAUAAGCGGAGGCU
This 417-nucleotide unclassified non-coding RNA is filed under the name uncultured Hypocreales. Its description in RNAcentral is "sequence contains ITS2". The stretch from base 1 to 154 matches the Rfam family "5.8S ribosomal RNA". The record is from RNAcentral. Lineage: Eukaryota; Fungi; Ascomycota; Sordariomycetes; Hypocreales.